This 406-nucleotide ribosomal RNA is filed under the name uncultured bacterium. RNAcentral's name for it is "partial 16S ribosomal RNA". It matches the Rfam family "Bacterial small subunit ribosomal RNA", at positions 30 to 526 of the family's 1533-position model. The record is from RNAcentral.
UUGAACGCUGGCGGCUGCUUAACACAUGCAAGUCGAACGGAGUGGCGCACGGGUGAGUAACGCGUGAGCAACCUGCCUAUGACAGUGGGAUAGCCUCGGGAAACCGGGAUUAAUACCGCAUAGUCAUAGAUGGGCUCGCGUCUGAGUAGCGAGUUGGUGAGAUAACAGCCCACCAAGGCGACGAUCAGUAGCCGGUGUGAGACGAUGAACGGCCACAUUGGAACUGAGACACGGUCCAAACUCCUACGUGAGGCAGCAGGGGGGAAUAUUGCACAAUGGGGGAAACCCUGAUGCAGUGACGCCGGGUGAACGAAGAAGGUAUUAGUAGCGUAAAGUUCUGUCCUAUGGGAAGCAGUACCAUAGAAGAAAGCUCCGGCUAACUCCGUGCCAGCAGCCGCGGUAAUAC